UGGCUUCAGGUCGGGGACAACCACUGGAAACGGUGGCUAAUACCGGAUAUGCCGAGAGGUGAAAGAUAUAUUGCCUGAAGAUGAGCUCGCGUCUGAUUAGCUAGUAGGUGUGGUAAAGGCGCACCUAGGCGACGAUCAGUAGCUGGUCUGAGAGGAUGAUCAGCCACACUGGGACUGAGACACGGCCCAGACUCCUACGGGAGGCAGCAGUGGGGAAUUUUCCGCAAUGGGCGAAAGCCUGACGGAGCAAUACCGCGUGAGGGAGGAAGGCUCUUGGGUUGUAAACCUCUUUUCUCAGGGAAGAAAAAAAUGACGGUACCUGAGGAAUAAGCAUCGGCUAACUCCGUGCCAGCAGCCGCGGUAAUACGGAGGAUGCAAGCGUUAUCCGGAAUGAUUGGGCGUAAAGGGUCCGCAGGUGGCUAUGUAAGUCUGCUGUUAAAGAACCUAGCUUAACUAGGUAAAAGCAGUGGAAACUACAAGGCUAGAGUGCGUUCGGGGUAGAGGGAAUUCCUGGUGUAGCGGUGAAAUGCGUAGAUAUCAGGAAGAACACCAGUGGCGAAGGCGCUCUACUAGGCCGCAACUGACACUGAGGGACGAAAGCUAGGGGAGCGAAUGGGAUUAGAUACCCCAGUAGUCCUAGCCGUAAACGAUGGAUACUAGGCGUGGCUUGUAUCGACCCGAGCCGUGCCGGAGCUAACGCGUUAAGUAUSSCGMCUGGGGAGUACGCACGCAAGUGUGAAACUCAAAGGAAUUGACGGGGGCCCGCACAAGCGGUGGAGUAUGUGGUUUAAUUCGAUGCAACGCGAAGAACCUUACCAAGACUUGACAUGUCGCGAAUCUUUCUGAAAGGAAAGAGUGCCUUCGGGAGCGCGAACACAGGUGGUGCAUGGCUGUCGUCAGCUCGUGUCGUGAGAUGUUGGGUUAAGUCCCGCAACGAGCGCAACCCUCGUUUUUAGUUGCCAGCAUUAAGUUGGGCACUCUAGAGAGACUGCCGGUGACAAACCGGAGGAAGGUGGGGAUGACGUCAAGUCAGCAUGCCCCUUACGUCUUGGGCUACACACGUACUACAAUGCUACGGACAAAGGGCAGCUACACAGCAAUGUGAUGCCAAUCUCAGAAACCGUAGCUCAGUUCAGAUCGCAGGCUGCAACUCGCCUGCGUGAAGGAGGAAUCGCUAGUAAUUGCAGGUCAGCAUACUGCAGUGAAUUCGUUCCCGGGCCUUGUACACACCGCCCGUCACACCAUGGAAGCUGGUCACGCCCGAAGUCGUUACCCCAACUUUUCGGAGAGGGGGAUGCCGAAGGCAGGACUGGUGACUGGGGUGAAGUCGUAACAAGGUAGCCGUACCGGAAGGUGUGGCUGGAUCACCUCCUUUUAGGGAGACCGAAUCCACUCAAACAUCGAAAACAGAUUGUGAUUAGAUAUUGAGUUGGUCAUUCCUAGGUCGKUAGAGUAUUSRWGAAAGCUUUCAAAGUAUUUUUGGUUCAGUUCAUAAAUAUSUCAAUWUWCAAKRKAAAGAWAAAUUCAGCAAUUGAUUGUGAAAGCAAUCGAACUGCUGGGUGAUUAUCCAGCCAGAACCUUGAAAACUGCAUAGUAACGCGAAAAAAAGCAGGCAGACGAAUCGAAGUGCUGAAUACGUGAAUUCUUCUAUUUGAGUC
RNAcentral lists this ribosomal RNA (1658 nucleotides) under Nodularia harveyana BOB1. RNAcentral describes it as "bacterial SSU rRNA". The stretch from base 1 to 1375 matches the Rfam family "Bacterial small subunit ribosomal RNA". Lineage: Bacteria; Bacillati; Cyanobacteriota; Cyanophyceae; Nostocales; Nodulariaceae. The record is from RNAcentral.